Molecule: ribosomal RNA, 420 nt
Filed under: uncultured bacterium
Lineage: Bacteria
Description: bacterial SSU rRNA
Rfam family: Bacterial small subunit ribosomal RNA
Source: RNAcentral
GAGGAAUAUUGGUCAAUGGUCGGAAGACUGAACCAGCCAUGCCGCGUGCAGGAAGAAGCAUCUAUGGUGUGUAAACUGCUUUUGUACGGGAAGAAACACUCCUACGUGUAGGAGCUUGACGGUACCGUAAGAAUAAGGAUCGGCUAACUCCGUGCCAGCAGCCGCGGUAAUACGGAGGAUCCAAGCGUUAUCCGGAAUCAUUGGGUUUAAAGGGUCCGUAGGCGGUUAAAUAAGUCAGUGGUGAAAUCCGGCAGCUUAACUGUCGAACUGCCAUUGAUACUGUUUAACUUGAAUUACUGUGAAGUAACUAGAAUAUGUAGUGUAGCGGUGAAAUGCUUAGAUAUUACAUGGAAUACCAAUUGCGAAGGCAGGUUACUAAUGGUUUAUUGACGCUGAUGGACGAAAGCGUGGGGAGCGAAC